CAAACGCACCUAAACUUGUGUGCAAAGCCAUAAAUACAUUUAAUUUGCAAUACAAAAAUUUCCUGUAUGAUAACACGACACUGCUGCCACCUAUAUUUUCUUUUUAGUCGAGCCUGUUAGUCGGCAGUUGCAACAGGCCUCGUUGUACUACAGGUGCUUCCCGCGAGCACAUGUGCUCCGCAGUGACAUAUUUACUGUGUUGAUAGAUAUUGUGUGCGUUUAUUGUGUGCUUAUCGUACUUGACAUUCGUCGACUGGAUAUUUUGCGCGUUUCGGAACGUCCUCCCGCAAGUGGGGGAUGAUGCAUCGUCGUUCGUCGCCACUCAGAACAGCCUCAUCGGACGCGCAGCUUUGUCUCCGCGCUCAAAAGUGCUUUCUUGCUUCGUUUAUCGAUUACUCACGUUAAUCGCGUGAUUCAAUAUCGAGUGUACCUCCAAAGACAAUCCACUUCCCAGUGUUGUGACAAGCGGCGACCGCGGUUGUACAGGAGCGGAAGCGUGAGCCUUUUGACGAGCGACUGUGAAGAAUGCAAAGCCAGUGCCAAACUUCGGAACCGAUAGCCCGGGCGGCGUGUUGGCACAGCGAGGAUGAGAACGAGAGACCCGAUAGACACCGAUGACAGCUGUUCACGGCACCGACACAGAGGACAGAUUGCAGUGCAAGAUAGGAGCGGUCUUCCUGCAAGCCCAGACAAGCCAUAUUGAGUGGUUUCAAAUACAGCAACUGUACCACCACGACAGUGCAGCACAAGAGACCCUAUCGUCAGUGCUGAGUCAGAAAUUAAAUAGAAAAGCGCUUUCUUCUGAAA
This is a long non-coding RNA of Rhipicephalus sanguineus (brown dog tick), 807 nucleotides long. RefSeq lists it as uncharacterized. The record is from RefSeq and is a predicted model, not a curated record. The transcript has 4 exons. NCBI's taxonomy places the organism in Eukaryota, Metazoa, Arthropoda, Arachnida, Ixodida, Ixodidae.